Molecule: ribosomal RNA, 825 nt
Filed under: Streptomyces sp.
Lineage: Bacteria; Bacillati; Actinomycetota; Actinomycetes; Kitasatosporales; Streptomycetaceae
Description: bacterial SSU rRNA
Rfam family: Bacterial small subunit ribosomal RNA
Source: RNAcentral
UGCAGUCGACGAUGAAGCCGCUUCGGUGGUGGAUUAGUGGCGAACGGGUGAGUAACACGUGGGCAAUCUGCCCUGCACUCUGGGACAAGCCCUGGAAACGGGGUCUAAUACCGGAUAUGACCACCGGCCGCAUGGUCUGGUGGUGGAAAGCUCCGGCGGUGCAGGAUGAGCCCGCGGCCUAUCAGCUUGUUGGUGGGGUGAUGGCCUACCAAGGCGACGACGGGUAGCCGGCCUGAGAGGGCGACCGGCCACACUGGGACUGAGACACGGCCCAGACUCCUACGGGAGGCAGCAGUGGGGAAUAUUGCACAAUGGGCGCAAGCCUGAUGCAGCGACGCCGCGUGAGGGAUGACGGCCUUCGGGUUGUAAACCUCUUUCAGCAGGGAAGAAGCGCAAGUGACGGUACCUGCAGAAGAAGCACCGGCUAACUACGUGCCAGCAGCCGCGGUAAUACGUAGGGUGCGAGCGUUGUCCGGAAUUAUUGGGCGUAAAGAGCUCGUAGGCGGCCUGUCGCGUCGGAUGUGAAAGCCCGGGGCUUAACCCCGGGUCUGCAUUCGAUACGGGCAGGCUAGAGUUCGGUAGGGGAGAUCGGAAUUCCUGGUGUAGCGGUGAAAUGCGCAGAUAUCAGGAGGAACACCGGUGGCGAAGGCGGAUCUCUGGGCCGAUACUGACGCUGAGGAGCGAAAGCGUGGGGAGCGAACAGGAUUAGAUACCCUGGUAGUCCACGCCGUAAACGUUGGGAACUAGGUGUGGGCGACAUUCCACGUCGUCCGUGCCGCAGCUAACGCAUUAAGUUCCCCGCCUGGGGAGUACGGCCGCAAGGCU